AUUUGGUUAGGAUUUGAUUUAGAGUUAGGAUUUGGUUAGGGUUUGAUUUAGGGAUUAGGGUUUGGUUAGGAUUUGAUUUAGGAUUUAGGAUUAGGCUUAGAAUUUGAUUAGGAUUUGAUUUAGGAUUAGAAUUUAGUUAAAAUUUGAUUAGGAUUUGAUUUAGGAUUAGGAUUUGGUUUAGAGUUUAGAGUUUUGUCAGGGUUUGAUUUAGGAUUAGGAUUUGAUUAAGAUUAAGUUUAAGAUUUAAUUAAGAUUUGAUUUAGGAUUUAGGAUUUAGUUUAGGGUUGAUUAGGAUUUGAUUUAGGAUUAGGAUUUGGUUAGGAUUUGGUUAGGGUUUGAUUUAGGAUUAGGAUUUGGUUUAGGAUUUAAAAUUUGGUUAGGAUUUAAGAUUUGGUUAAGAUUUGAUUUAGGAUUAGGAUUUGGUUUAGAAUUUAGGGUUUGGUUAAGGUUUGAUUUAAGAUUAGGAUUUGGUUUAGGAUUUAGGAUUUGAUUAGGGUUUUAUUUAGGAUUUAGGAUUUCAUUUAAGAUUUAGGGUUUAGUUUAGGAUUUAAGAUUUGGUUAGGAUUUGAUCAAGAUUUGAUUUAGGGUUUAGGAUUUUAUUUGAUUUUAUUUAGUAUUUAAGAUUUAAUUAAUUUUUGGCCUAAAGUUUGAAUGAAGUCCAAUAAGAUUUCAACUAAGAUUAAAUUAAUAUUGAAUUGAGAUGUAUUAGAGAUAUGUUUGUAAUUAUUCUAAUAUUUUUUUAAGUUUUCUUAUUAUUUCUUUGGAAUUCCUUUGAGGUUUCUUUGAAUUUGAAUGAAGCUUGUUUAGCAUUAUUAGUUUUUUAUUAGAAUUAGGAUUUUUUUGUUGCAAUUUCCAUUCUACCUUCCACAACCAGGUGAUUGGAGCAUUCUCAAGCAAGACUUCACGUAUUAUGAUACCGCAUUAUUGGACAAGAUAUUCUAAUUUAUUUUGGCACCGCCUUGAGUCCAAAAUUUUGUCUACUUUAAAAUAUUCAUUAUUCUCUACUUCUAUAAGAAGAGGUGGGACUUGACUUUUCAUUAGUAUGUUCACAAUUUUAUAUGGUUUAAGAAGAGACAUGUAGAAGAUAGGAUGGAUCUUCAUUGACUUUGAUAGAUGUA
Molecule: long non-coding RNA, 1118 nt
Filed under: Physcomitrium patens
Lineage: Eukaryota; Viridiplantae; Streptophyta; Bryopsida; Funariales; Funariaceae
Description: long non-coding RNA (PPAT_LNC010830)
Source: RNAcentral